Molecule: non-coding RNA, 148 nt
Filed under: Chlorocebus sabaeus (green monkey)
Lineage: Eukaryota; Metazoa; Chordata; Mammalia; Primates; Cercopithecidae
Source: Rfam by way of RNAcentral
GCCAGGUGUUGUGGCGUGUGCCUGUAAUCCCAGCUACUCAGGAGGCUGAGACAGGAGAUUCGCUUGAACUCGGGAGGCGGAGGUUGCAGUGAGCAGAGAUCUCACCACUGCACUCCAGCCUGGGUGACAGAGUGAGAUUCUGUCUCAA